Non-coding RNA from Vicugna pacos (alpaca), 3029 nucleotides. The record is from RefSeq and is a predicted model, not a curated record. NCBI's taxonomy places the organism in Eukaryota, Metazoa, Chordata, Mammalia, Artiodactyla, Camelidae.
CGCAGAGGAAGUGAGUGCUGCGGGGGUGUGGCCUGGAGGUCACACCUUGAGCGGUGGGUGUUCAGUGUGUUAUCAUUGUAAUCAGCUGCCCGCGGCUGAUGAAUGAUUCAUGGUCGUUUCUAGCUCAGCAGAUAAUGUCGUCUUUAUACGUUCAGUCUUCGCUGUAGCGGGCGAGCCCGAGCAAUAGCAGAGCUUUUGUAGGACUUCACUGCCAUCCGAGGGUUAGGAAGUCUCCCCACCCCCGCAGCCCCAGGAGGAUGUAAGAAGCACUGUCCCCUACUCCCAUUUCCACUUUUAGCUUGGCGCAGUUUAUACCUAAAAAAAUCUUAAGAAUACGUGCUAUGGACAAUUCAGACUCGGGCCCAGAUGACUCACACCGGCUCUACCAGAUCCAGAAGCAGCCGCAUGGGGAUUCAUUCCUGAGGUCCUGAACUCUGGAGGAACCCGCGGAUUAGACUUUAAUGAGGCUUGAUUUCGGUAGGACGAAAGAACACAAGUGAGGACCCACCUCUGCGGGGUGUGGCUGCUGUGUCUCUGGCUCCGCAUUGUUUCCCAGAUUGUUGUGGGUGGUGGACGUCGCCGCAGCCUUCCCAGGGCGAAACGUAUUCUCGGUUCUGGGAAGGCUUCCAUCUUCCACAGUCCCCCGUUGUAACUCCGUGGAAUGUAGUUUAAAAAAAUAAUUUCACAAGGUAAAAUUGCAGUUUUUAAUAGUUACCAUUUUAGAAAAACAGCCAGUGUUUCUGAUUCUGUCUCCUCCCCUGCCCCCAUGAUUUCUGAGUGUGCGAUCCCUUAGAGGACCCUUAGGGCUGUUACUUUAAAACAUUUAGCGUCUUUCUCUCUAUAUUUUAGCAAUCCGGAAUUCUGUCUUGUAACUUCUUUUUACAUCACUGAAGGUGUUUCUGUUUCUCCUUCAUGUUUUUUUUUUAAAGCCCUGGAAUGGGUAUUUGCAAAAGUAUUUUAUUAAGGUAGCCUAUAUAUUGAUACCUUUUUCGUAUUUUGUAUUUUUAAAAUUAACUUUGAGAUAAUACGUGCUUCAGCCCUGCCAUAGAAAUUCCAUCUCCUAAAAUCAUGUUCUGGUGAAUUAAGGAGAAAAGGAACAUUUUCUAAGGCUAACUAAUAACAAAAGAAAGGUAUAAAUGCCUAGAAGCCGCCAAACGAAUUCAGAGAGAAAUCUGAGGAUCUAGGAAAAAGCUGUCUUAUUAAAUGCAAUUGUGGUAGACUUCCUGGAAGUGAUAAAUGUAGUGAAAUCAAUCUUUUCUAAUGACUUAAUUGUCAUCAGAAGAUCUGAAAACAAUUUUGUGGGUUAAGGUAGGUAGUCAUCAUCCUUGGUGAUAACUAUAAUAACUAUCAUGUUAUAAAAACACUAUAAGACUAUUUUUGUUAUAAAAGCAGACUUCAUACUGUAGAUCUUAUUGUUAAUAAUUGUUGGCUUUUGUUUGCUUUUUACAAAUCCACGGUUAUAAUGAAAGUGACAUUGUUGCAUUGAGAUGCAAGGAAUAGAGUUGUUUUGUUUGUUUGUUUUUUCCAUGCAGUUAACAUUCUUUUUUUCUUUAAAAAAAUCAUUUUCAGUGAUUUCAGUCCAGCCAAGUGACAGGAUUCACAUUUGCACUUGAGGUGGUCAGGAACGGUGUCUCCUCAAAUUAGGGCCUUUUGUUGAACACUUGAUCGGAAGGAAGGUAAAACCUGAAGGUCUCUCUAACAAAGGUGGAAUCAGUUUUUAAAAAUCAUGGCUCUCUCAAAGGAAUGUGUCUACUUUGGAUGAAGACAGGGGCACAUGCCUGUACUUAAUUGCCUGCAAUAGAAGAAUAAUUAUUUUACUCUUAAGGAUUUUUUCCUGGAGAGAAAAUGUAUUCAUGUAUCCAUUUAUAGUCUCUCUCUGUCUCUCUUUUCUGUCUUUUAUGGUUAUAUAAAUGUGUGUGUUCCUGCUUGGGCCAUUCCUCAUUCUAAAAACAUUUGUGGAAGUCCACAGUGCUUAAGACGGGAGCUGGCUGCUUAAGUUUGGAUCCGUUCCGAUCACUUACUAGGUGGGUGAUGUUGGCCAAUUUCUAUGCAUUAUUAGUCAACGAGCUUAUUUUUAAAUUUGGGGUCAUGCUGUCACUAAACUUUCCAGGGUUUGUGGUGAGGAUUAAGUGAGAUAAUGCAGGUGGAGUAUUUACCACAAUAAAUGAUAAACUCUCUGGCCUACAGAAAAUGCUUGAUACAACUCCAGCUGUUGUUUUGUUGCAUAGGGAGAUCCUGGGGAAAAUUUUUUUCACAUUUCCAACAGAAUAGUUUCAAAUGAAACACAUCCUCUCCCUUUUACAAGUAGUAAAUUACGACUCAGGGAGAAGCGUGGUAAAGAGAAAGACUGGGUCAUGUUCCCUUUGGGGAGUGUGUCGACCUAAAAUCUCAUUGAGAAGAGGAGAUGCCAGUUACACCUCUUAAAUUCAAGAUACGAUUUCUUAAAUCCCUCUGCCUGGUUAUUCCACUAAUGCAGUGCUCUGAGGCUUGACAGCUCCUAGUAGCGAUCUGUAGAAUACGGUCCCCAAGAGUCGGAGGGAAGGCUGUCACCCAAGUCAGGCCCUUCGAGUGUGUAUUUCCUGCUUUAUCACAAUUAAUGUCCACGAUUUAUUACAUUUCCUGCUUCGCUGUGGCUUUUGAUAACUGGUGGGUGUGACAGUUAAUCCUUGGGUGUGUCCCUGGUGUAGUAAGUAUUCCAUUGAGUAAUAGUCUUCUGUCAUCAUUUGGUCCAUUAGCCCCACAUGGAAGGCGCCCCGUCUCGCCAAACCCAAUGAAGGAAACCAGCCCUGCUUCUUCUUGGGAGCCAAGGAGUGAUUUCGUAAGAUCUGCUCCUGUAAGCACUGUGGGAAUAGCUGAUCAGAAUGCUGGUUGCUUCUGUCCUUUAGUCACCAGAGUUGAUUCCCUCGGUUUCAAAGCCACAGAAGGUUGCAAAGGUCCCCAAGGGCUUUUAGGGUUACAGGUGCAAAGGGAAAAAGAAUGGCCCCCUCAGAAAGGCACCUGUGCAGGGAGGCACCUGGUGGAAGGUGGAG